Molecule: ribosomal RNA, 424 nt
Filed under: uncultured Oscillospiraceae bacterium
Lineage: Bacteria; Bacillati; Bacillota; Clostridia; Eubacteriales; Oscillospiraceae
Description: bacterial SSU rRNA
Rfam family: Bacterial small subunit ribosomal RNA
Source: RNAcentral
UGGGGAAUAUUGGGCAAUGGGGGGAAACCCUGACCCAGCGACGCCGCGUGAGGGAUGAAGGUUUUCGGAUUGUAAACCUCUGUCUUCGGGGACGAAAGAAUGACGGUACCCGAGGAGGAAGCCACGGCUAACUACGUGCCAGCAGCCGCGGUAAUACGUAGGUGGCAAGCGUUGUCCGGAAUUACUGGGUGUAAAGGGAGCGUAGGCGGGAAGGCAAGUUGAAUGUUAAAUCUACCGGCUCAACCGGUAGCCGCGUUCAAAACUGUUUUUCUUGAGUGAAGUAGAGGCAGGCGGAAUUCCUAGUGUAGCGGUGAAAUGCGUAGAUAUUAGGAGGAACACCAGUGGCGAAGGCGGCCUGCUGGGCUUUUACUGACGCUGAGGCUCGAAAGCGUGGGUAGCAAACAGGAUUAGAUACCCUGGUAGU